UACGGAGGGAGCAAGCGUUACUCGGAAUUACUGGGCGUAAAGGGCGCGUAGGCGAUUUUGUAAGUCUUGUGUGAAAGCCCAAAGCCUAACUUUGGAAGUGCACAAGAUACUGCGAGAAUUGAGUUCCGGAGAGGAAGAUGGAAUUCCCGGUGUAGCGGUGAAAUGCGUAGAUAUCCGGAGGAACACCGGUGGCGAAGGCGGCUUCCUGGACCGACACUGACGCUGAGGCGCGAAAGCUAGGGGAGCAAACGGG
Molecule: ribosomal RNA, 253 nt
Filed under: uncultured bacterium
Lineage: Bacteria
Description: partial 16S ribosomal RNA
Rfam family: Bacterial small subunit ribosomal RNA
Source: RNAcentral